GGAUUGUGGCUCAGCGGUAGAGCACUCGUCUAGUGUGUGUGAGGCUCUGGGUUCGAUCCUCAGCACCA
RNAcentral lists this transfer RNA (68 nucleotides) under Marmota monax (woodchuck). RNAcentral's name for it is "tRNA.Thr". The stretch from base 5 to 65 matches the Rfam family "tRNA", at positions 6 to 65 of the family's 71-position model. Rfam says of the family: Transfer RNA (tRNA) molecules are approximately 80 nucleotides in length. Their secondary structure includes four short double-helical elements and three loops (D, anti-codon, and T loops). The record is from RNAcentral. Lineage: Eukaryota; Metazoa; Chordata; Mammalia; Rodentia; Sciuridae.